Non-coding RNA from Triticum urartu, 1614 nucleotides. NCBI's taxonomy places the organism in Eukaryota, Viridiplantae, Streptophyta, Magnoliopsida, Poales, Poaceae. The record is from RefSeq and is a predicted model, not a curated record.
AAACUUGGUAUGGUGCAUUACAUUGGUCUUACAAGGUUGUGAAAAAUUUGGGGACAUUUAAGGGAUGUCAAGAAACGAGGUGCUCCCAAAUGGACCCUUCUAGCCUACCCAAGCACUCUCCGUUGAACAUGAUAUUUUGUUUAGAAAUGACGCAUGACCACAACUUCUGCAAGCAGGUGGGAAUGCACAUGUUAGGCAUCCAUGCCUGGCUUGAAUGACUUCUGACAUCGUAUGCAUGUUGCUACAUGUUAACCAGAAAAUACAAAACUUGUAAAAAAACAAAAAACUUAGCAAGGUGACUUGAAUUGGUCGUGCAAGGCCAUGUAAAAAAAAGGUCAUUUCAAGGAUGUUGAGAAACAACGUGCUCCCAUAUGGGGCAUUUUGGCCUACACGAACAUCAUGCGUUCAAUACGGUCCUUUUUCGAACAUCCUUGAAAUGACCUCAUUUUUCUCAAGCAGGUGGGCAUGCCCUCAGUAGGCAUCUAUGUCAGGUUUGGAUGAAUUCUAACACCGUUUGCAUGUUGCCACACGUUUGGACAUUUAUCAACCUUUGCUCACAAGAAAAACUCCAGAAAGUGCAAAAUUGUCGAAAACUUGAACAAUUUGGCAUGGUUCGUUGAAUUGGUCAUAUGAGGCCAUGGAAAAAAAUGGGGCAUGUCGAAAAACAAUGUGCUCUCAUGUUAUAAAACAACUAAGCUGCUUGCGCCUUGCUGGGCCGGCCCAGUAGCGCAAACUCCUGUGACUGGCGUAUACUUUCCAGCAACGACCCGGAAGUGGGUACAAUUUGUCAAAAUAUUACCCUUUAUAUGUUUAGUAGAGAGGGUUGUAUCGAAAAGGGGCUUGUUUGAGUAUUAUAUUUCAAGCAUUACGUUGAGAGCUAUGCUCUUUGUGCUGAGGGAACGCUUCCUCCUUUCCUAUAGCUUGCAUGCUUAAGAUCUUCCUCAAGCAGCAGCAUGACAUCUAAAUCAUUGAAGGGUAAAUUAUUUCAUAUUCGUAAAACAAAUACUCUGUGCAAUAGAUUUGAUUUUACCAAAAGGACCAUGCACUACAAAACUGAUAUUAUAAACUCAUACAUCAUCUCAUGAGAAGACCAAAAAGAGUAAAAAUUCCUUAGACCAUGGACAGGCUACAAAGUGCAAGCACAAUUCGUUGUAGAUUUUCCGAGGCUAGUUCUUCACAAAGGUGCUUAGCACGUCUAAGUAGUUGGGGAAGGUCUUGUGGGAGGUCCCUGAUGGUGACCAGCACCUCGGUGCAGGCCAGCAGGGAGAAGGCCAUGGCCAUCCGGCGGUUGUCAUAGGUGUCGAUCGCCGUCCCGUUCAGGUCUUCCUCGAUGGCGUGAUGAUGCACUAGGCUUGGUCUUCCUCGAUUGGUGCUCCCGGUCAUAGGGCAUAGGAACGACAGGUCAAAUGAAAUGCCGAGGGGUGUUACUACCUUCGUUAGCUCAGUCCAGAUGGCACCCAUUCACACGUUUUCCUUCACUCUCCGAGAGGUAACUACAAAACAGAAUGAACAAGUCUCAAGACCAAAAUUUGCAAAAGAAACCAACAAACAUGUAAGAAGGUUAUUACUACACAAAAUAACCUAUCCCGACACAUAAUACUUUCCAGUCCUCUA